CUUCAUUCCGGAAGAAAGGUUUAUGUCUUAAAAGCUUUGCAACAUCUCCAUGCUGCUCUAUUCCCCGCGGCCAAUCGUGCGAAAGGAAUAUAUCGAUGGGCUUUUGUAAUGACUUUAGGCUCAGAACGUCAAAUUCCCGGGUGUGAUAAAUACUCUUUAGCAUUUUAUAAUUGUACGGAAGCCCUUCAUAACGUCCUAUUAUAUGUUACUGACUGCUAUCUUAAACCAAUUUUUUUAUACCUUUUUUGUAAUCCAUUGCACUGUAAAUACCGCUAAUACCGGCGAUUCGUAAACCACCGACGUUAAUUACUGAAGAUCUUCCCAUAUAAUAUAUGUUUGGGGCUACCCAUCCUCCGUAAGGCCUGUUGGCGCAUUGUUAAUAGCACGUCUUAGUUUCGUCCACUUACAGUUCAUCCAAAUAGUUACUGGCUUCAUGAUUUCCACCAACGAAUAUUGUUAGUAUCGGUGCUUUAUUUCUACCAUUAUAGUAGUUAAAAAAAUCGCCUAGUCGCUUGAACUUUGGAGGCAUUGAUAUACCAUGAUAGUCUGAUACAUUUCGCAAAGCUUGGAAAUCCCCUCCGAUAAUUAACAAAUCUACUUUUCUUUUUUCCGCUAAUAUGUACAGAUUAUCUAAAAUCCCAUGACAACAUCCUUGCACGCCAACGCGCAUUUUUAGGAAGGCAGGUGGUGGUUUUAAUCUUGCAAAGUACGACAUGAAUUAGAUGACCAUUGCAAACGAGUGUUUAAAAGUUCAGCUCACUUAUAACAAUAAUUUUGAAAUGUAAAUUAAUUUUUUCAAUAAAAUAACUAAAUAAUCUAUUUCAU
Molecule: non-coding RNA, 825 nt
Organism: Schizosaccharomyces pombe (fission yeast)
Lineage: Eukaryota; Fungi; Ascomycota; Schizosaccharomycetes; Schizosaccharomycetales; Schizosaccharomycetaceae
Source: the annotation of a GenBank genome assembly